GGAGAGUUGCCGGAGUGGUCGAACGGGACGGAUUCGAAAUCCGUUGAACUGGCAACAGUUCCCAGGGUUCGAAUCCCUGACUCUCCGCCA
RNAcentral lists this transfer RNA (90 nucleotides) under Pseudomonas sp. RNAcentral describes it as "tRNA-Ser". It matches the Rfam family "tRNA". Rfam says of the family: Transfer RNA (tRNA) molecules are approximately 80 nucleotides in length. Their secondary structure includes four short double-helical elements and three loops (D, anti-codon, and T loops). RNAcentral also lists the same sequence under 14 other names. Lineage: Bacteria; Pseudomonadati; Pseudomonadota; Gammaproteobacteria; Pseudomonadales; Pseudomonadaceae. The record is from RNAcentral.